CAGCAGCCGCGGUAAUACAGAGGGUGCGAGCGUUAAUCGGAUUUACUGGGCGUAAAGCGUGCGUAGGCGGCUUUUUAAGUCGGAUGUGAAAUCCCUGAGCUUAACUUAGGAAUUGCAUUCGAUACUGGGAAGCUAGAGUAUGGGAGAGGAUGGUAGAAUUCCAGGUGUAGCGGUGAAAUGCGUAAAGAUCUGGAGGAAUACCGAUGGCGAAGGCAGCCAUCUGGCCUAAUACUGACGCUGAGGUACGAAAGCAUGGGGAGCAAACAGGAUUAGAUACCCCGGUAGUCCCUGUCUCUUAUAC
This 301-nucleotide ribosomal RNA is filed under the name uncultured bacterium. RNAcentral describes it as "partial 16S ribosomal RNA". It matches the Rfam family "Bacterial small subunit ribosomal RNA", at positions 509 to 807 of the family's 1533-position model. The record is from RNAcentral.